AGGGCUGCGGUAUUUUGACCGUGCAAAGGUAGCAUAAUCAUUUGCUUCUUAAUUGGAAGCUGGAAUGAACGGUUUGACGAGGGGAAGACUGUCUCUUCUUUAUGAGAUGAACUUAACUUUUAAGUGAAAAGGCUUAAAUAGAUUGAAGGGACGAUAAGACCCCGUAAAACUUUAUAAGAUUUAUUUUGUGAAAGAAGGUGAGUAUAAACUGGAUCAAGAGUAUGCUUAUUUCACUGGGGCGGUGUAGAUAUAAAUCAGUAACUGUCUACUUAAAGAUAAUAAUAUUAAUUAGGUUAAGAUCUCCUGUUUGGGAUUAAGAGAACAAGUUACUUCGGGGAUAACAGCGUAAUUUUCCUUGAGAGGACAUAUCGACAGGAGUAGUUGCGACCUCGAUGUUGAAUUAAGGUUUCAAAUAGGCGCAGAGGCUUAUUUAGUAGGUCUGUUCGCCCUUUAAUACCUU
RNAcentral lists this ribosomal RNA (460 nucleotides) under Periclimenes incertus. RNAcentral's name for it is "partial large subunit ribosomal RNA". It matches the Rfam family "Bacterial large subunit ribosomal RNA", at positions 1927 to 2597 of the family's 2925-position model. Lineage: Eukaryota; Metazoa; Arthropoda; Malacostraca; Decapoda; Palaemonidae. The record is from RNAcentral.